UGUCGUAACAAGGUUUCCGUAGGUGAACCUGCGGAAGGAUCAUUCGCACGUAUCCAACCAAACAUCUGUGAACGAUUCCCUGUGAAGCUCCUUCGGGAGCUUCAAGGGCAAGGGCGCAAGGAUGAGGCUGCGGCAGUUGUCCUUGUGCCUUGUCAGGUCAUCUGAUUAACCUUGUGUUAAACCUUUAUUGAUCGCAUUGGCUUGCCAAUGUAUUCGUUCUAACAACUUUCAGCGACGGAUGUCUCGGCUCGAACAACGAUGAAGGGCGCAGCGAAGUGUGAUAAACAUUGUGAAUUGCAGAAUUCCGUGAACCAACAGGUACUUGAACGCAUACUGCGCUUUCGGGAUAUCCCUGAAAGCAUGCCUGCUUCAGUGUCUACUCAUUCUCAUUCACAUCCGGCUUCGGCCGUUGUGAGUUUCUGCGCGCCACGGCGCACUUGUGCCCGUGACGCGUGUAGUGUAUCCAGCUCCACGCGAUGACAUUUGAUUGCGCUCCUUGCGUUGUGAUCUGUCAGAGCGAAUGGUGCUGCCUCUACAGCCGCCAAGGCGUCCAAUCAAAGACAUGAAGUUAGGUCAGAGAACCCGCUGAAUUUAAGCAUAUAAGUAAGCGGAGGAAAAGAAACUAAAUAGGAUUCCCUUAGUAAUGGCGAAUGAACAGGGAUGAGCUCAGCAUGGAAAUCGGGGCCUCUGGCCUUGAAUUGUAGUCUCGAGAUGUAUCACCAACGGCGGCGCAGAUGUAAGCCUCUUGGAAAAGAGCAUCAGUGAGGGUGAGAGUCCCGUUUGUCAUCUGUAGUCCACCGUGCACGGUGUACGUUCUAAGAGUCACGUUCCUCGGAAUUGGAGCGCAAAGUGGGUGGUAAAUUUCAUCUCAAGCUAAAUAUUGGUUCGAGACCGAUAGCAAACAAGUACCGUGAGGGAAAGAUGAAAAGGACUUUGAAAAGAGAGUUAAAAGUGCCUGAAAUUGCUGAAAGGGAAGCGAAUGGAACCAGUGUAUCUUGGUGAGAUUGUUGCGUGCCAAUGUGAUUGCUUGCCGCAUCAACGCAAGUGUUGCGGUGGGUUUUGAUCUGGACGUGCGCAGUGGUUCUUUCCAUGUGUGUCAACGUCAGUUCAUGGUUGGGGAAAACUCCAAGGACCUGGUAACCUCCCCACGGGGGGGUGAAUGUGCUUGGCAGAACUCACCUGUGGACUGAAUCUCGCGUGUUGGGUUUCAGUGUCUUUGUCUCUGUGCUCACAGCCCCAAGCAUUCGCUAAGGCUGAGUGUGCGGCUGACUUUGGCAUCUUCUCAGCACAACGACGGUGACUAAAUGGUUCUUUUCGACCCGUCUUGAAACACGGACCAAGGAGUCUAACAUAUGUGCGAGUUCACGGGCGGGUAAACCUGCUUGCGCAAUGAAAGUGACUGCUGGGAUCUUUGCACCAGCAACCGACCAAUCAAUUGAGAGAGGUUUGAGUAUGAGCAUAUCUGUUAGGACCCGAAAGAUGGUGAACUAUGCGUGA
Molecule: ribosomal RNA, 1497 nt
Filed under: Kryptoperidinium triquetrum
Lineage: Eukaryota; Dinophyceae; Peridiniales; Kryptoperidiniaceae
Description: eukaryotic LSU rRNA
Rfam family: Eukaryotic large subunit ribosomal RNA (bases 559-1497)
Source: RNAcentral